UACGUAGGGGGCUAGCGUUGUCCGGAAUCAUUGGGCGUAAAGAGCGCGUAGGCGGCCAGAUAAGUCCGGUGUGAAAGUCAAAGGCUCAACCUUUGAAUGCCGCUGGAAACUGUCUGGCUAGAGUCCGGGAGGGGCGAGUGGAAUUCCUGGUGUAGCGGUGAAAUGCGCAGAUAUCAGGAGGAACACCGGUGGCGAAGGCGGGACUCUGGGCCGAUACUGACGCUGAGGAGCGAAAGCGUGGGGAGCGAACAGG
Molecule: ribosomal RNA, 253 nt
Filed under: uncultured bacterium
Lineage: Bacteria
Description: partial 16S ribosomal RNA
Rfam family: Bacterial small subunit ribosomal RNA
Source: RNAcentral